UGAACGCUGGCGGUAGGCCUAACACAUGCAAGUCGAACGGCAGCACAGUAAGAGCUUGCUCUUACGGGUGGCGAGUGGCGGACGGGUGAGGAAUACAUCGGAAUCUACUUUUUCGUGGGGGAUAACGUAGGGAAACUUACGCUAAUACCGCAUACGACCUACGGGUGAAAGCAGGGGAUCUUCGGACCUUGCGCGAUUGAAUGAGCCGAUGUCGGAUUAGCUAGUUGGCGGGGUAAAGGCCCACCAAGGCGACGAUCCGUAGCUGGUCUGAGAGGAUGAUCAGCCACACUGGAACUGAGACACGGUCCAGACUCCUACGGGAGGCAGCGGUGGGGAAUAUUGGACAAUGGGCGCAAGCCUGAUCCAGCCAUACCGCGUGGGUGAAGAAGGCCUUCGGGUUGUAAAGCCCUUUUGUUGGGAAAGAAAAGCAGCAGGUUAAUACCCCGCUGUUCUGACGGUACCCAAAGAAUAAGCACCGGCUAACUUCGUG
RNAcentral lists this ribosomal RNA (490 nucleotides) under uncultured bacterium. Its description in RNAcentral is "partial 16S ribosomal RNA". It matches the Rfam family "Bacterial small subunit ribosomal RNA", at positions 30 to 507 of the family's 1533-position model. The record is from RNAcentral.